RNAcentral lists this ribosomal RNA (305 nucleotides) under uncultured bacterium. RNAcentral describes it as "bacterial SSU rRNA". It matches the Rfam family "Bacterial small subunit ribosomal RNA", at positions 335 to 638 of the family's 1533-position model. The record is from RNAcentral.
GCCCUACGGGGGGCAGCAGUGAGGAAUAUUGGUCAAUGGGCGGAAGCCUGAACCAGCCAAGUCGCGUGAGGGAAUAAGGCCCUACGGGUCGUAAACCUCUUUUGCCGGGGAGCAAGGGCGGGGACGUGUCCCGGCCCGGAGAGUACCCGGAGAAAAAGCAUCGGCUAACUCCAUGCCAGCAGCCGCGGUAAUACGGAGGAUGCGAGCGUUAUCCGGAUUUAUUGGGUUUAAAGGGUGCGUAGGCGGGCUUUUAAGUCAGCGGUAAAAAUUCGGGGCUCAACCCCGGCCGGCCGUUGAAACUGGGG